AACGGCCAUACCAUGCUGAAUAUACCGGUUCUCGUUAGAUCACCGAAGUCCAGCAUCAUUGGGCGCGGUCAGUACUUGGGUGGGUGACCACCUGGGAACACCGCGUGCCGUU
Molecule: ribosomal RNA, 112 nt
Filed under: Caerostris extrusa
Lineage: Eukaryota; Metazoa; Arthropoda; Arachnida; Araneae; Araneidae
Source: RNAcentral